This 540-nucleotide ribosomal RNA is filed under the name uncultured Bacteroidota bacterium. Its description in RNAcentral is "bacterial SSU rRNA". It matches the Rfam family "Bacterial small subunit ribosomal RNA", at positions 374 to 916 of the family's 1533-position model. Lineage: Bacteria; Pseudomonadati; Bacteroidota. The record is from RNAcentral.
GGCGCAAGGCUGAUCCAGCGAUGCCGCGUGCAGGAUGACGGUCCUAUGGAUUGUAAACUGCUUUUAUACAGGAAGAAACACCUCUACGUGUAGAGACUUGACGGUACUGUAAGAAUAAGGAUCGGCUAACUCCGUGCCAGCAGCCGCGGUAAUACGGAGGAUCCAAGCGUUAUCCGGAAUCAUUGGGUUUAAAGGGUCCGUAGGCGGUUUAGUAAGUCAGUGGUGAAAGCCCAUCGCUCAACGGUGGAACGGCCAUUGAUACUGCUAGACUUGAAUUAUUAGGAAGUAACUAGAAUAUGUAGUGUAGCGGUGAAAUGCUUAGAGAUUACAUGGAAUACCAAUUGCGAAGGCAGGUUACUACUAAUUGAUUGACGCUGAUGGACGAAAGCGUGGGUAGCGAACAGGAUUAGAUACCCUGGUAGUCCACGCCGUAAACGAUGGAUACUAGCUGUUGGGAGCAAUCUCAGUGGCUAAGCGAAAGUGAUAAGUAUCCCACCUGGGGAGUACGAACGCAAGUUUGAAACUCAAAUGAAUUGACGG